GAUAAACGCUGGCGGCGCACAUAAGACAUGCAAGUCGAACGGACUUAACCAUUAGUUUACUAUUGGAGCGGUUAGUGGCGGACUGGUGAGUAACACGUAAGCAACCUGCCUAUCAGAGGGGAACAACAGUUAGAAAUGACUGCUAAUACCGCAUAUGCCUAAGUACCACAUGGUACAAUAGGGAAAGGAGUAAUCCGCUGAUAGAUGGGCUUGCGUCUGAUUAGAUAGUUGGUGGGGUAACGGCCUACCAAGUCGACGAUCAGUAGCCGGACUGAGAGGUUGAACGGCCACAUUGGGACUGAGAUACGGCCCAGACUCCUACGGGAGGCAGCAGUCGGGAAUAUUGCGCAAUGGAGGAAACUCUGACGCAGUGACGCCGCGUGCAGGAAGAAGGUUUUCGGAUUGUAAACUGCUUUAGACAGGGAAGAAACAAGACAGUACCUGUAGAAUAAGCUCCGGCUAACUACGUGCCAGCAGCCG
RNAcentral lists this ribosomal RNA (480 nucleotides) under uncultured bacterium. Its description in RNAcentral is "bacterial SSU rRNA". It matches the Rfam family "Bacterial small subunit ribosomal RNA", at positions 28 to 517 of the family's 1533-position model. The record is from RNAcentral.